RNAcentral lists this ribosomal RNA (305 nucleotides) under uncultured bacterium. RNAcentral describes it as "bacterial SSU rRNA". It matches the Rfam family "Bacterial small subunit ribosomal RNA", at positions 500 to 803 of the family's 1533-position model. The record is from RNAcentral.
CCUACGGGAGGCAGCAGCCGCGGUAAUAUGGAGGAUGCGAGCGUUAUCCGGAUUUAUUGGGUUUAAAGGGUGCGCAGGCGGAAGAUCAAGUCAGCGGUAAAAUUGAGAGGCUCAACCUCUUCGAGCCGUUGAAACUGGUUUUCUUGAGUGAGCGAGAAGUAUGCGGAAUGCGUGGUGUAGCGGUGAAAUGCAUAGAUAUCACGCAGAACUCCGAUUGCGAAGGCAGCAUACCGGCGCUCAACAGACGCUCAUGCACGAAAGAGUGGGUAUCGAACAGGAUUAGAAACCCCAGUAGACCAGAUCGG